CCUACGGGUGGCAGCAGUGGGGAAUAUUGGACAAUGGGCGAAAGCCUGAUCCAGCCAUGCCGCGUGUGUGAAGAAGGCCUUCGGGUUGUAAAGCACUUUCAGUGGGGAAGAAAGCCUUGGGGCUAAUACCCUCGAGGAAGGACAUCACCCACAGAAGAAGCACCGGCUAACUCCGUGCCAGCAGCCGCGGUAAUACGGAGGGUGCGAGCGUUAAUCGGAAUUACUGGGCGUAAAGCGCGCGUAGGCGGUCUGAUAAGCCGGUUGUGAAAGCCCCGGGCUCAACCUGGGAACGGCAUCCGGGACUGUCAGGCUAGAGUGCAGGAGAGGAAGGUAGAAUUCCCGGUGUAGCGGUGAAAUGCGUAGAGAUCGGGAGGAAUACCAGUGGCGAAGGCGGCCUUCUGGACUGACACUGACGCUGAGGUGCGAAAGCGUGGGUAGCAAACAGGAUUAGAUACCCUAGUAGUC
This 465-nucleotide ribosomal RNA is filed under the name Vreelandella stevensii. RNAcentral describes it as "partial 16S ribosomal RNA". It matches the Rfam family "Bacterial small subunit ribosomal RNA", at positions 338 to 795 of the family's 1533-position model. Lineage: Bacteria; Pseudomonadati; Pseudomonadota; Gammaproteobacteria; Oceanospirillales; Halomonadaceae. The record is from RNAcentral.